Molecule: long non-coding RNA, 780 nt
Organism: Gallus gallus (chicken)
Lineage: Eukaryota; Metazoa; Chordata; Aves; Galliformes; Phasianidae
Exons: 3
Source: RefSeq, a predicted model, not a curated record
GUCAUAGCAACGAGGAGCUAGGCAGGUGGAAAAUGGCUCCCACCUAUCUUCCCCAGAAUUCGUGGGGCUGUGUGGGAUGGAGCUGGGGGCUCAAGGCCUUGAGGCCUGGCAGCUAACAGAAUAGAGAAAGGAUGUGACUAUGAAGCAGAGAAGUGAAGAGGAUUUAACACAAACACUGAAAUAUUCCAUACCUCUAAACAUGUACUCCAUACUUUAAAAAGACCUUAUACAAUUCACAUGGAUAUAAUCCAUCCUUCCUUAAUCUGAACCCCAGCUGACUUUGAGCAGCCAAUGCGUACUCUCUAAGCACCCCAGCUAUGAGCUUCAGCAUCCCGAGGCAGCAGCAGUCUUGCAGAGAAUUGGUGGCAGCCUCAAGGCCCUGCCCUGCCCCCAGCCUGGAGGACUCCUGGAGCUGCAAAAUAGCCCUACUGAGGGCCUGCAGGGCAACCUUCCUGAGACUGGAGCCUCCAUCCACUGUGGUGAUAUCCCAAAGGAUACGAGGCCUCACAGCGCUGCACGCUUAUGAGGAUACAACCUUAAUACCACCAAGCAGCAAGUCACUGGGAGGGAUGCAUGUCGGUGUGAGUGCUUGUGUGGUGUAUUGCAAAUACACAAGAUAUGGCAUAUCACCAGCAAAAAUGAGUUAACUUGGAAAUUCCACCUAGGUUGGGCUUUUCUUGGUUCUAUUAAAACAUUUACAUGUUUUUAAAUACAAUCGCAAAAUAACACGCUAGUAGUUUUACUGACAAAUAAAUACCUUGUAAAUACAAGGGUUUCUUA